RNAcentral lists this long non-coding RNA (2448 nucleotides) under Homo sapiens (human). Its description in RNAcentral is "HSALNT0098325". The record is from RNAcentral. Lineage: Eukaryota; Metazoa; Chordata; Mammalia; Primates; Hominidae.
GGAAAACUUUGAGGAGGUCCCGGAGAAUGACCAGCAACCUCACAGACAGAAUCCUGGGUACCUUGGAGGCAAAUGAACUGAUGAACCUGGCAGAUUUCCCAUCUUCAAACAAUGAUGGUUCAUGCUGACACUCUGUCCCUGGCUGCAGAGGGCACCUCUUUUUUUGUUCACCUGACAAAAAACAACAAUUGGAUUGGUCUCUCCCAGACCACGUGGUCCUCACAGGCUGCCCAUCAUGGGCCUCAACUCCCCUGACCACGUGGGACAGGCACAAGACCCACAGUACUCUGUUCAGACUCUCUCUCAGGCAUCUGAAAUUUCCAUGGAGACAGAAGGACAAAAGGACAGAGCUGUCUUUUCAACAAAUGUUGCUGGGAGAACUGGAUAUCUACUUGCCGAAGAAUGAAGUCAUACCCUUAUCUCACAGUAUCUACAAAAACUAGCUUAAAAUAGACUAAAGAGCUAAACGGAAAAGUUAAAAUUAUAAAACAUAAGGAGAAAGCUUCAUGGCAUUGGAUUUGGCAGUGAUUUCUUCUUUAUGACACUAAAAGCACAGGCGACAAAAGAAAAAAGACGGAAAUUGGACUCCAAAAUGAAGAAUUUUGCACAUCAAAAGGCACUGUAAACAGAGUAAAAAGACAACCUAUAGGCCGGGCGCGUGGGGCUCACGCCUGUAAUCCCAACACUUUGGGAAGCCGAGGCAGGUGGAUCAUGAAGUCAGGAGAUCGAGACCAUCCUGGCUAACACGGUGAAACCUUAAAAAUACAAAAACAAAAUGAGCCGGGCGUGGUGGCGGGCACCUGUAGUCCCAGCUACUAGAGAGGCUGAGGCGGGAGAAUGGCGUGAACCCAGGAGGCGGAGCUUGCAGCGAGCCGAGAUCGCGCCACUGCACUACAGAGCAAGACUCCGUCUCAAAAAAAAAAAAAAAAGAAAAGAAAAAAAGACAACCUAUAGAAUGCGAGAAAAUGUUUGUAAAUCAAAUUCCUAAUAAAAAAUUAAUAUUCAUAAUAUGUAAAGGACUCCUAUAACUCAACAACAACAAUUAAAAACUAGGCAAAGGACUUCAAUAGACAUUUCUCCAAAUAAGUUAUACAAAUGGCCAAUGAGCCCAGGAAGAGAUGUUCAGCAUCACUAAUCAUUAGGGAAAUGGAAACCAAAACCACAGUGAGAUCCCACCUCACACCCAUUAGGAUGGCUACUAUCAAACAAGCAGAGAAUAGCAGGUGUUGGUGAGGAUGUAGAGGGAUUGGAAGGAACUCUUGCGCAUUGCUGGUGGAAAUGUAAAAUGGUGCAGCUACUAUGGAAAGCAGCACAGAAGUUCCUCAAAAACUUAAAAAUAGAAUUACCAUAUGAUCCAGCAAUUUUGUUUCUAGGUGCAUACCCAAAGGAAUUGAAGGCUGGAACUCAAAGAGUUAUUUGUACACCUAUGUUUGCAACAGCAUCAUUUACAGUAGUGUGAAAAGAUCACCGUGGGCAUGUUAACAUUUUAAAGCAUUUAUGUGAGCAGACAAUGAUUCAUGAAUCUGGUAGCACCAAACUGCAAGUAGUUUGGGCUCCACCAAGAGGGUGUGAGGGGAAAAUUGUUAAAAGGUGAUCAUGAAAGCAAGACAAAGAAAAUAUUUGAUUGGCUAAGGCAGGAAGUCUCCAGUUAGAGGUCAGCUGGAGGUUUCUGAUUGGUAAAUUCUGUAGUGAGAGGUUAGUUAGCAGUUUCUGAAUGGUUAAGCUGGGGUUUCAUUUUCCCAGGCUAUGGUCACUCACACUGAAUGGGGUUUCAGUUUGCUUAUGUAGGAAUCCAAGGUGCUGGGUUCUCAGCCAAAUGGACUCCAAAUUAAUUGUUUUUAACAAUAGCCAAAAGGUUAAUCAGCUCAAAUGUCCACUGAUGGAAUGAGUCAAUUAAUUUGUUUACUUGUCCAUGAAUGAGUAAACAAAAUGUGGUAUAUACAUACAAUUAAAUAUUAUUCAGCCUUAAAAAGGAAGAAAAUUCUGACCCAUGCCAUAAUGUGGAUGAACUUUGAAGACAUUACGCUAAGUAAGAUAAGCCAGUCACAAAAAUAACAAACUCUGUGUGAUUCCCCUCAUAGGGGGUCCAUAGUCAAAUUCAUAGAAACAGAAUAGUGGUUGUGGGGGCUGGGCAGAGGGGGAGUCAUUGUCUAAUUUGUGGUGUUAAAUUAAGCUUAGCCUAAAGCUGACUGCUUACAUAUUUUAAGUUUAGCCUAAAGAUCCCUCCAUACAUGGUGAACUGUCUCCUAACUGGAUGUAUGAACAGAUUGUAACCUACUCUUGUACCAGUCACUGAGUUUCUGCAAAUCAAAGGUGACCAGACCCUGUUUAAAUACGGCAAACAUUGAGCUGUAGCCAAUACAGUAGUUUCUGCACCUCACUUCCAGUUUCUGUACAUUACUUUCCUUUUUCUGUCCAGCGAUCUUUGACCAUGCUGCAGCAACGGGG